GACGAACGCUGGCGGCGUGCUUAACACAUGCAAGUCGAGCGGUAAGGCCCUUUCGGGGGUACGACGAGCGGCGAACGGGUGAGUAACACGUGGGUGACCUGCCCUCAGCUCUGGGAUAAGCCUGGGAAACCGGGUCUAAUACCGGAUAUGACUCCAUGACGCAUGUUGUGGGGUGGAAAGCCUUGUGCGGCUGAGGAUGGGCCCGCGGCCUAUCAGCUUGUUGGUGGGGUGAUGGCCUACCAAGGCUCCGACGGGUAGCUGGUCUGAGAGGACGAUCAGCCACACUGGCACUGCGACACGGGCCAGACUCCUACGGGAGGCAGCAGUGAGGAAUAUUGCGCAAUGGGCGAAAGCCUGACGCAGCGACGCCGCGUGGGGGAU
RNAcentral lists this ribosomal RNA (381 nucleotides) under uncultured bacterium. RNAcentral describes it as "bacterial SSU rRNA". It matches the Rfam family "Bacterial small subunit ribosomal RNA", at positions 28 to 409 of the family's 1533-position model. The record is from RNAcentral.